This 492-nucleotide long non-coding RNA is filed under the name Zea mays. RNAcentral describes it as "drought responsive lncRNA". The record is from RNAcentral. Lineage: Eukaryota; Viridiplantae; Streptophyta; Magnoliopsida; Poales; Poaceae.
CGCUUAUAUGGGAAUUAAAAUACUGUCUGAAUGCAACAAUAGCCUAACAGAGUUGAGGAAAGGAAACAUCAUCUAACCAGGGGAUAGAAGCUUCCUUUGCUAGGCAAUAGCUUACUCAGAUCGACUUUGGUAGGGUCAAGAAAACAAGAAGUGAAGUAACAAAAGAUCAGGGAAUCAGGAAUGCUACAAGCAAGAACCCACCACUUUGGCAAGGACUGUGUCACAUAAUCAAUGUAGCAAAAAAAACAUGUGCAGUGCGGUAGUAGCAAGGGCCUAGCCACCGCUGGCCACCCCUAGCUCUGUCAUUGAAGUCGUUUCUUUCCUAAUUAAUUCCAUAUCCAUAACAAUAUAAAAACGAAGAGCAAUAAAUGUUGUAGGAGGUCGUUGUAGUAUCAUUGUUGAAGUUGGUUUGAAUACUUUGUUUCAGAACAACAAACGUGUUUUAGCAUGUAAAACUUGUAUAUAUAUAUAUUUGUAUAUUUUAAAGUGUUG